RNAcentral lists this ribosomal RNA (422 nucleotides) under uncultured bacterium. RNAcentral's name for it is "bacterial SSU rRNA". It matches the Rfam family "Bacterial small subunit ribosomal RNA", at positions 355 to 774 of the family's 1533-position model. The record is from RNAcentral.
UAGGGAAUAUUGGGCAAUGGAUGCAAGUCUGACCCAGCCAUGCCGCGUGCCGGAUGAAGGCCCUCAGGGUUGUAAACGGCUUUUAUUCGGGAAGAAGAGCACGGAUGCGUCUGUGUGUGACGGUACCGAAUGAAUAAGCAACGGCUAACUCCGUGCCAGCAGCCGCGGUAAUACGGAGGGUGCGAGCGUUGUCCGGAUUUAUUGGGUUUAAAGGGUGCGUAGGUGGCUUUUUAAGUCAGUGGUGAAAUACAGCCGCUCAACGGUUGAGGUGCCAUUGAUACUGAAAAGCUUGAAACAAGUGGAGGCUGCCGGAAUGGAUGGUGUAGCGGUGAAAUGCAUAGAUAUCAUCCCGAACACCGAUUGCGAAGGCAGGUGGCUACGUUUGAUUUGACACCGAGGCACGAAAGCAUGGGGAGCAAACA